This 253-nucleotide ribosomal RNA is filed under the name uncultured bacterium. Its description in RNAcentral is "partial 16S ribosomal RNA". It matches the Rfam family "Bacterial small subunit ribosomal RNA", at positions 524 to 776 of the family's 1533-position model. The record is from RNAcentral.
UACGUACUGUGCGAACGUUAUUCGGAAUCACUGGGCUUAAAGGGUGCGUAGGCGGCCUGUUAAGUAGGGUGUGAAAUGCCAGAGCUCAACUUUGGCAUUGCGCUCUAAACUGGCAGGCUUGAGUGAGAUAGGGGUGUGCGGAACUUCCAGUGUAGCGGUGAAAUGCGUAGAUAUCGGGAGGAACACCGGUGGCGAAGGCGGUUCUCUGGGCAUGACCUGACGCUGAGGAGCGAAAGCAUGGGGAGCGAACAGG